AGUGAACGCUGGCGGUAGGCCUAACACAUGCAGGUCGAACGGCAGCACAGGAGAGCUUGCUCUCUGGGUGGCGAGUGGCGGACGGGUGAGGAAUACAUCGGAAUCUACUCUGUCGUGGGGGAUAACGUAGGGAAACUUACGCUAAUACCGCAUACGACCUACGGGUGAAAGCAGGGGACCUUCGGGCCUUGCGCGAUUGAAUGAGCCGAUGUCGGAUUAGCUAGUUGGCGGGGUAAAGGCCCACCAAGGCGACGAUCCGUAGCUGGUCUGAGAGGAUGAUCAGCCAUACUGGAACUGAGACACGGUCCAGACUCCUGCGGGAGGCAGCAGUGGGGAAUAUUGGACAAUGGGCGCAAGCCUGAUCCAGCCAUACCGCGUGGGUGAAGAAGGCCUUCGGGUUGUAAAGCCCUUUUGUUGGGAAAGAAAUCCAGCUGGCUAAUACCCGGUUGGGAUGACGGUACCCAAAGAAUAAGCACCGGCUAACUUCGUGCCAGCAGCCGCCGUAA
RNAcentral lists this ribosomal RNA (506 nucleotides) under uncultured bacterium. RNAcentral's name for it is "partial 16S ribosomal RNA". It matches the Rfam family "Bacterial small subunit ribosomal RNA", at positions 29 to 523 of the family's 1533-position model. The record is from RNAcentral.